AUGUCACUUGUAACUGCACUAAUGAUUAGAGAUAUCCUGUUUGUGUUUCUCAUGAUAUGGUCCAGCCUCUACAUGGUGAGCCUCCUGUUCAGACACAAUAGGAAAACAUGGCAUGUCCACAGUUUCAGUGUCUCUCUCCAUGCAUCUUCUGAAAAGAGAGCCACCCACAGCAUCCUUCUGCUUGUGGGUUUCUUUGUGGUU
RNAcentral lists this long non-coding RNA (201 nucleotides) under Mus musculus (house mouse). Its description in RNAcentral is "long non-coding RNA chr7:13244161-13244362". Lineage: Eukaryota; Metazoa; Chordata; Mammalia; Rodentia; Muridae. The record is from RNAcentral.